GUAAUUUUUUUUUUAAAAUAUAAAAAUAUUAAAAAUAAUUAUAAAUUUUAAAGUUUUAGUAUUUUAUAAAGAAAAAAUAAUUUUAAUAAUAGUUUAUUAGUAUUGUGAAAUAAAAUUGAAAUAUAAUGAAAAAUUUUUAUUUUAAAAGAAAAUUUAAUUUAUUGUAUCUUGUGUAUCAGAGUAUAUUAAAUAAAAAAUAUAAAUAUAUUUUUCUCGAUUUCAAAAGAUUUAAUAAAUUAUAAAUGUUAAUGUGAUAAAAUUAUAUUAAAUAGUUUAUUAGAAAUGAAAUGUUAUUCGUUUUUGAAGGUAUCUAGUUUUUUAAGAAAUAAAUUUAAUUUAGUUUUUAAAAUUUACUUGUUUAAUUAAUUAAUUAAGUAAUUUUUAAAAAAUAAUAUUUUAUGGGAUAAGCUAUAAAAUAAAUUUUUAUAAAUAAUAAAUAAUAUUUUAAAUUAUAUAUGUUUAAAAGUAUCAAUUUUUAUUAAGUUUGUUAUAAAUUAAUUUUUUUAAUAAAUUAUUUAUUAUAUUUUAAAUUUUUAUUAAAAUAUUUAUUUUAAUAUUAAAAAUAAAGAAAUAAUGAUAUAAUUAGUAUAUUAAUUUUGUAAUUAUAUAUUUUAAAAUGAAAAGUUUAUGUAAAGAAUUCGGCAAAAAUAAUGUUCGCCUGUUUAACAAAAACAUGUCUUUUAGAAAUUAAUUUAAAGUCUAACCUGCCCACUGAAUUUUUUUUAAAUGGCCGCAGUAUAUUAACUGUGCAAAGGUAGCAUAAUCAUUAGUCUUUUAAUUGAAGGCUGGAAUGAAUGGUUGGACGAAAUAUUAACUGUUUCAUUUAAAUUUAUAAUAAAACUUUAUUUUUUAGUCAAAAAGCUAAAAUAUAUUUAAAAGACGAGAAGACCCUAUGAAUCUUUAUAUAUUGUAUAUUUUAAUUUUGUAGAUUAAUUUAAUUAUAAUAUUAUUAAUAUAUUUUAUUGGGGUGAUAUUAAAAUUUAAAAAACUUUUAAACUUUAAACCAUUAAUUUAUGAAUAAAUGAUCCAUUUUUAAUGAUUAAAAAUUUAAGUUACUCUAGGGAUAACAGCGUAAUUUUUUUGGAGAGUUCAUAUCGAUAAAAAAGAUUGCGACCUCGAUGUUGGAUUAAGAUAUAAUUUUAGGUGUAGCCGUUUAAAUUUAAAGUCUGUUCGACUUUUAAAAUCUUACAUGAUCUGAGUUCAAACCGGCGUGAGCCAGGUUGGUUUCUAUCUUUAAUAAAUUAAUAUAUUUUAGUACGAAAGGAUUAAAUAUAUAAAUAAUUUUAUUUUAUAGAUAAGAAUAUAAUUAAUAUUUAUAAAACUAUUUUGGCAGAUUAAU
This 1339-nucleotide ribosomal RNA is filed under the name Helophilus virgatus. RNAcentral describes it as "16S ribosomal RNA". Lineage: Eukaryota; Metazoa; Arthropoda; Insecta; Diptera; Syrphidae. The record is from RNAcentral.